This 1727-nucleotide ribosomal RNA is filed under the name Schmidtea mediterranea. RNAcentral's name for it is "SSU rRNA". It matches the Rfam family "Eukaryotic small subunit ribosomal RNA". The record is from RNAcentral. Lineage: Eukaryota; Metazoa; Platyhelminthes; Tricladida; Dugesiidae.
UCUGGUUGAUCCUGCAGUAGAUUGCUUAAUCUCAAGAUUAAGCCAAUGCAUGUCUUAGUAGCACAGACUAGUACUUCUGAAAACCGCGGAAUGGCUCAUUAUAAACAGCUUGAUUUGAGAGAUUUAUCAUUUUCCAAAGAUAACUGUGGUAAUUCUAGAGCUUAAUAUUUUUUAAAGAUGCCGUGACUCACGAAGCGGCGAUUAUAGAUCAAAAUCAACUCCGCUGAAAGGCCGGUAUUUUGAAUGACCCUGGAUAUUUUACUGAUCGUACGACCUUUGUGUUUGGACGACAUAUCUCUUGAAGUGGCUGACCUUAAUCAACUUUCGAUGGUAAGAUAAACGCUUACCAUGGUUGUAACGGUAACAGGGAAUCAGUGUUCGAUUCGGAGAGGGAGCCUGAGAAACGGCUACCACAUCCACGAAGGCAUGCAGGCCGCGUAAAUCUACCGCAAUACGCGGUUCGGUGAAAGGUAGUGACAAAAAUAACAAUAUGGGCCGCUAGUGGUUUCAAUAAUUGCAAUGAGAACAUUUUUAAAUAACUUUAUCAAGUAUCAAUUGGAGGGCAAGUCUUGCGUGCCAGCAGCCGCGGUAAUUCAGCUCCAAUAGCGUAUAUUAAAGUUGUUGCAGUUAAAAAGCGUCGUAGUUGAAAUUGAAGGAAAAAGAUGGUUUGAAUCUAUGAUUGAGAGCUAUCUUGUCCUCGCAGUCGUGUAUAUCUUUGAUGCUCUUUUUAAAUGGUGUUGAGGAUGACUCGGAACAAGUUUUACUUUGAAAAAAUUAGAAGGUGCUUAAAGCAGGCUUACGCUUGUUAUAUUGUUGCAAUGGAAUAUAAAAUAGGACUUCGGUUUUAUUUUUGUUGGUUUUCGAAAACUGAAGUAUGAUUAAAACGAGACUGCGGGGGCAUAUGUAUGCUGGUGCUAGGGUGAAAUUCUUAGAUCAUCAGCAGACAGUUACUGCGAAGCAUUUGCCAAGAAUGUUUUCAUUAAUCAAGAACGAAAGUCAGAGGAUCGAAGACGAUCAGAUACGUCCUAGUUCUGACCAUAAACUAUGCCAACUGACAGUUCGCGAAGGUAAUUCAAAUUCCUUGCCGAGAAGUCACCGGGAAACCUAAAGUCUAUGGGUUCCGGGGGAAGUAGGUUUGCAAAGCUGAAAACUUAAAGGAAUUGACGAGGGCACCACCAGCGAGGUGGAGCCUGCGCUUAAUUUGACUCAACACGGGAAACCUCACCCGGUCGCGGACACUGUGAGGAAUUGACGAUUGAUAGCUUCUUUCUUGAUUAGGUGGGUGGUGGUGCAUGGCCGUUCUUUAAGUUGGUGGAGCGAUUUGUCUGGUUAAUUCGCGUUAAACGACGAGACUCUCAACCUGCUAAAUAGUACGAUUUGGUGUUUCUAAACGCAAAUGCUAGACUUUCUUAGAGGAAUAAAUAGCGUUUAGGCUAAAUGAAAUUGAGCAAUAACAGGUCUGUGAUGCCUUAGAUGUCCGGGGCAGCACGCGCGCUACAAUGGCAGUAACAGCGAUUUUAUUCCUAGCUAGAAAUGGCCGGGUAACCUGCCUAAAUCACCUGUAGUGUCAGGAGAUAGUGGAUUGAAAUUAUUCCACUUGAAAGCGAGGAAUUCCCUUAGUAAAGCGCAAGUCACUAGCUUGCGCUGAUUACUGAUCCCUGCCCUUUGUACACACCGCCCGUCGCUAUUCUUACCGAUUGAAUGGUUUAGUGAGAUCGUUGGAUUCU